Molecule: long non-coding RNA, 363 nt
Filed under: Fukomys damarensis (Damara mole-rat)
Lineage: Eukaryota; Metazoa; Chordata; Mammalia; Rodentia; Bathyergidae
Description: lncRNA (ENSFDAG00000028151.1)
Source: RNAcentral
GAAGCUUAUUGAUGUUAACUAAAUUUAUUUACUAGUAAUUCACAUAAGUUUGUCACUGAAGCCAACAACUCCCUGAGUUGCUGCACGCGCUUUUCCCCUUGGUGUCCACGAUGCUGAAGAAGACGGGAUGCUCACUUCACCAGAGAAGGACCGGCUGCUUCAAGUGCAAGGUCAGAGACCCAAGUUACUGGGGAAAAGUGACACAAUGCAUCUUCUGUGAACUCCAAAGAUCCAUUCAUUUACCACUGAGAGGUUCCUGAAUGAUGACCAUCUCCUGCAGGGCCUCAUUCCAGGAGUUCACCAACUGGAACACCACCUUGAAAAUGUCUUCUUUCUAUUCAGACAGUUUGGAGCAAUCACCAU